RNAcentral lists this ribosomal RNA (253 nucleotides) under uncultured bacterium. RNAcentral's name for it is "partial 16S ribosomal RNA". It matches the Rfam family "Bacterial small subunit ribosomal RNA", at positions 524 to 776 of the family's 1533-position model. The record is from RNAcentral.
UACGUAGGGUGCAGGCGUUAAUCGGAAUUACUGGGCGUAAAGCGUGCGCAGGCGGCCUCUUAAGUCAGAUGUGAAAUCCCCGGGCUUAACCUGGGAAUGGCAUUUGGGACUGCAAGGCUUGAGUGCGGCAGAGGAGACUGGAAUUCCCGGUGUAGCAGUGAAAUGCGUAGAUAUCGGGAGGAAUACCGAUGGCGAAGGCGGCCUUCUGGGUCCGCCCUGACGCUGAGGCGCGAAAGCGUGGGGAGCGAACGGG